GGACAUUACCGAGUUUACAACUCCCAAACCCCUGUGAACAUACCUAUACGUUGCCUCGGCGGAUCAGCCCGCGCCCUGUAAAAAGGGACGGCCCGCCCGAGGACCCUAAACUCUGUUUUUAGUGGAACUUCUGAGUAAAACAAACAAAUAAAUCAAAACUUUCAACAACGGAUCUCUUGGUUCUGGCAUCGAUGAAGAACGCAGCAAAAUGCGAUAAGUAAUGUGAAUUGCAGAAUUCAGUGAAUCAUCGAAUCUUUGAACGCACAUUGCGCCCGCCAGUAUUCUGGCGGGCAUGCCUGUUCGAGCGUCAUUUCAACCCUCAAGCUCAGCUUGGUGUUGGGACUCGCGGUAACCCGCGUUCCCCAAAUCGAUUGGCGGUCACGUCGAGCUUCCAUAGCGUAGUAAUCAUACACCUCGUUACUGGUAAUCGUCGCGGCCACGCCGUAAAACCCCAACUUCUGAAUGUUGACCUCGGAUCAGGUAGGAAUACCCGCUGAACUUAAGCAUAUCAAUAAGCGGAGGGAAAAAAAACCAACCGCUUA
RNAcentral lists this ribosomal RNA (542 nucleotides) under Fusarium sp. CPK3514. Its description in RNAcentral is "eukaryotic LSU rRNA". The stretch from base 157 to 310 matches the Rfam family "5.8S ribosomal RNA". The record is from RNAcentral. Lineage: Eukaryota; Fungi; Ascomycota; Sordariomycetes; Hypocreales; Nectriaceae.